UACGUAGGUCGCAAGCGUUGUCCGGAUUUACUGGGCGUAAAGAGCGCGCAGGCGGCUGGUCAAGUCCGAUGUGAAAGCUCCCGGCUUAACUGGGAAAUUGCAUCGGAAACUGAUCGGCUGGAAGGUGGGAGAGGGUAGCGGAAUUCCCGGUGUAGUGGUGAAAUGCGUAGAUAUCGGGAGGAACACCAGUGGCGAAAGCGGCUACCUGGCCCAUUCUUGACGCUGAGGCGCGAAAGCUAGGGGAGCAAACGGG
RNAcentral lists this ribosomal RNA (253 nucleotides) under uncultured bacterium. RNAcentral's name for it is "partial 16S ribosomal RNA". It matches the Rfam family "Bacterial small subunit ribosomal RNA", at positions 524 to 776 of the family's 1533-position model. The record is from RNAcentral.